AUUAUUUUAGAGAUCAGGGCAGAGCUGUGGGGAUCAGUAGCUGAUGGAGGCAAAUGCUAAAUCGUUCCUCAUUCAUAUUCAUAUCUUCUCUUCCUUCCCCUCCCCUCUGUCUCUUCCUCUGGAGAGAGCGUCACCUCCACCCUCUUGGAUGCAAGGCGGGGCAGAGUGGAAGAAAGCAGAAUGCCCCUGCACUAGGUAAAGCAGUGAAGCAUCUGUCGGUGAGUAGCCUGUCGGGGUGGCAGAGCAAGUGGGAAUGGAGAGCCCGAGCUUCAUCUGUCUGUGUCCAGUGACUGAGCACCUGUAAGUUCCCACAGACAGUGGCAUUCUCCAGUUGCCCCAGUUCCAGCUCUGGCUGCCAUCCGUCCAUCCAUCCAUCCAUGACACAUCUGCAAGGACAGAGGUCACCCAUGGUGGGUGCCGUAUGGUUCUCUGGGUGAAAUCGCUUUA
RNAcentral lists this long non-coding RNA (447 nucleotides) under Rattus norvegicus (Norway rat). RNAcentral's name for it is "long non-coding RNA NONRATT000137". Lineage: Eukaryota; Metazoa; Chordata; Mammalia; Rodentia; Muridae. The record is from RNAcentral.